Molecule: long non-coding RNA, 559 nt
Organism: Dermacentor silvarum
Lineage: Eukaryota; Metazoa; Arthropoda; Arachnida; Ixodida; Ixodidae
Exons: 3
Source: RefSeq, a predicted model, not a curated record
CUGCGUUACCGCGAUAAAGAAAAUAGUUCCUCAAGGAAGCUAAGCAGAAAAUUUUCACACUCUUGCCAACCACAAAAAUUGUUAAGAAAUACCAUUAUAUUACAAGAUUUGUUAAUAUAUAUGGCAAUUCAUAUCUAUGAACGCGUGGAUUUGUAUGCGCGUUUUUGUGUGAAUGCGCGCUUGCGCUGUUGACUCUUUGGCGGAUUCCGGAACUUUGUGCGUGCGGCGUAUGUGUGCGGGUUGCGUGAUGAGUUUGCUGCGUUUUCUGUGCCCUUUGCCUCGCUGUGACAUCUUUGGUAUAUUACAACUUAUUGCUCGGUCUUAAUGGGCUACACGUUGCCUCGAAGAUCACCAUGAUCGCCUCCGACUCAGCCACAUCGAAGAAUCAAAAUGAGCCUGGAGACGCCACAGCCGGAAUGCGAAAGGUUGGAGAAGUGCUUAUUCAGAUGAUCCUGGCACAGCUUGCCAUGGUGGACCAGGCAAGUUUGCAAGGGCCUUGAUUCACCAUGUGUUCACAGAGAACCUCAUGGGCCACUCCUCGGAAACAACACCACCAAUA